GUGAGUGUCGAUCUCCAAAGUCCAGAGUGAGUCAUCACCAGUAGGUACUGGGAAGAGCGUCAGCCUGCCUGUGUGCACAGUCUGCUGCCUUGGGCAGACCGGUGAGAGAGCCUUGCUGGGUUUUUUUGCUCCUGGUUUGUCCUGUGGUGUUUGGUAGAACGCCAUGACAUGAAUACCCUCAGCCUGCCCCUGAAUAUCCGCCGAGGAGGGUCAGACACCAACCUCAACUUCGACGUCCCAGAUGGUAUCCUGGAUUUCCACAAGGUCAAACUCAGCGCAGACAGCCUGAGACAGAAAAUCUUAAAGGUGACGGAGCAGAUAAAAAUCGAGCAGACGUCCCGAGAUGGGAACGUUGCCGAGUAUCUGAAACUGGUCAGCAGUGCUGACAAGCAGCA
This 395-nucleotide long non-coding RNA is filed under the name Rattus norvegicus (Norway rat). RNAcentral's name for it is "long non-coding RNA NONRATT025740". The record is from RNAcentral. Lineage: Eukaryota; Metazoa; Chordata; Mammalia; Rodentia; Muridae.